Molecule: ribosomal RNA, 489 nt
Filed under: uncultured bacterium
Lineage: Bacteria
Description: bacterial SSU rRNA
Rfam family: Bacterial small subunit ribosomal RNA
Source: RNAcentral
GGCGGCGCGUCUUAAGCAUGCAAGUCGAACGGCAAGAGAAGUGCUUGCACUUCUCCGUAGAGUGGCGGGACUGGUGAGUAACAGGUGGGUGACAUACCCUUCAGAUGGGGAUAGCCGGUAGAAAUACCGGGUAAUACCGAAUACGCUCGUGCAUCUCGGAAGUGUACGAGGAAAGGAGCUACGGCUUCGCUGUUGGAUUGGCCCGCUUCCCCAUUAGCUAGUUGGUGAGGUAAUGGCCCACCAAGGCUAUGAUGGGUAUCCGGCCUGAGAGGGUGAUCGGACACAUUGGGACUGAGAUACGGCCCAGACUCCUACGGGAGGCAGCAGCUAAGAAUAUUCCGCAAUGGACGAAAGUCUGACGGAGCGACGCCGCGUGGAUGAUGAAGGCCGGAAGGUUGUAAAAUCCUUUAGCAAGUGAGGAAUAAGCAGAGCAGGGAAUGGCUCUGUGGUGACUGUAGCUUGAGAAUAAGCAUCGGCUAAUUACGUGCC